CAGUCGCCGCGGUAAUACAGAGGGUGCAAGCGUUAAUCGGAAUUACUGGGCGUAAAGUGCGCGUAGGUGGUUUGUUAAGUUGGAUGUGAAAUCCCCGGGCUCAACCUGGGAACUGCAUCCAAAACUGGCAAGCUAGAGUAUGGUAGAGGGUGGUGGAAUUUCCUGUGUAGCGGUGAAAUGCGUAGAUAUAGGAAGGAACACCAGUGGCGAAGGCGACCACCUGGACUGAUACUGACACUGAGGUGCGAAAGCGUGGGGAGCAAACAGGAUUAGAUACCCCCGUAGUCCCUGUCUCUUAUAA
Molecule: ribosomal RNA, 301 nt
Filed under: uncultured bacterium
Lineage: Bacteria
Description: partial 16S ribosomal RNA
Rfam family: Bacterial small subunit ribosomal RNA
Source: RNAcentral